AGUCCAUUUCACAUGUCAACUCGAAAUGGCCAUUUCAGUGGCUAAAGGAUGGAAUUUUGCUCUAAAACAUCUUGUAGUGCCUAUUUAAGCAUGUUUACGCUUGUUUGAAUCAUCAGAUUUGAAGAAAAAAACACCAAAGUGGUAGUUUGACUUCAGACCCUAGCCCUAUUGUAUCAUUUUCCUUAUGUAGCCUAUUCUACAAAUAAUUUAGUUCUAUAACAUUCAACAUUCA
Long non-coding RNA from Telopea speciosissima, 232 nucleotides. RefSeq lists it as uncharacterized. NCBI's taxonomy places the organism in Eukaryota, Viridiplantae, Streptophyta, Magnoliopsida, Proteales, Proteaceae. The transcript has 2 exons. The record is from RefSeq and is a predicted model, not a curated record.